Molecule: unclassified non-coding RNA, 341 nt
Filed under: Hevea brasiliensis (rubber tree)
Lineage: Eukaryota; Viridiplantae; Streptophyta; Magnoliopsida; Malpighiales; Euphorbiaceae
Source: RNAcentral
GAUGAAUCAGGCACCCCAGAGGAGAGAGCGGCGUUCAUGAGGGAGGUGGAAACUUUUUACAGGGACAAUGCCCUGGAAUUCAAGCCCCCUAAGUUUUAUGGAGAGCCAAUAAACUGCCUUAAGUUAUGGAAUGCUGUUAUCAGACUGGGUGGCUAUGAUGUGGUCACUGCUUCCAAGUUGUGGCGGCAAGUAGGAGAGUCUUUCCAUCCCCCUAAAACCUGCACAACAGUUUCUUGGACAUUCCGAAUAUUCUACGAGAAGGCACUUUUGGAAUAUGAAAAGCAUAAGAGGCAAAAUGGUGAGAUUCAACUCCCUGGUUCACCCCUGCAUCAGCCUUCUGU